UACGCAGUCCAUACCUCUACCUCUGAUGAAGUAGAAAGGCUGUUUCCGAAAGACCCCCGGCUCAAGGCACAAGAUAUCACACAAACACAUAGUAAAGCACAGAAGCAGAUGACAUAACAUAAAUACGGCACCCAUAAGGAAUAUAAAACAGAGGAAAGCAGAGAAAAGCACACAGAUUCGUAAUAAGCAUGGAACACUGAAUACGGAANNNNNNNNNNNNNNNNNNNNNNNNNNNNNCCUCCACUAGCCACCCAAUCUGGCCCCACUCUUCUGCCGUAAUUCGCGUCUUUCAGACCUUCCUAUCUAGGGUCAUGUCCUCGGUGAGCUAUAACUGUUCCAUGUCCCGCCUAAUCACCUCACCCCAGUACUUCUUCGGUCUACCCCUACCCCGUCUAAAACCAUCCAACGCUAGCCUCUCACACCUACGGACCGGGGCAUCCAUGCCCCUCCUCUUCACGUGUCCGAACCAUCUCAAUCGUGCUUCCCGCAUCUUACACUCCACUGAAGUCACCCCAACCUUCUCCCGGAUAGUCUCAUUCCGAGCUCUAUCCCUUCGGGUCAGUCCACACAUCCAGCGCAACAUCCGCAUUUCUGCCACC
RNAcentral lists this long non-coding RNA (599 nucleotides) under Capsicum annuum. RNAcentral describes it as "long non-coding RNA (CANN_LNC022207)". The record is from RNAcentral. Lineage: Eukaryota; Viridiplantae; Streptophyta; Magnoliopsida; Solanales; Solanaceae.